GGCCUUCUUACGCCGUCUCCGUAGCGCCCCGCCCUCGCUGGCGCCCGGCUGACGUAAAGCUGCUUCGGGAAUCGAUGCUGGCCCUACGCGAAAUGCGCAGCCUCUCCCCCGGCGCAGUAACAGGUACAGUUUCCACCUCAACAAAAUCAAACCUGCUCAGGAAGAACUACGGCUACGUCAUCCCCAUAAACUGCUGGUGUUCAGUCUCCAUGAACAGUUUUGUCAGUGGACCUGAAUGAGACUGCAGAGGGAGAGGAAGCAGCAGAACUGGGACCAGCAAGCAGAUGUCCUGAGUCAACACAAGGAACUCCAGACUGACAUUCCAGUAUAACCCCCAGCGCGUUGAAAUAGUUCAGUUUCUGAGAGAUCCUCCAGCUCCCUCUGACAUUCCUGUAAGCUGAGAUUUCAGCUCUGUUGGGAGAAGCCUUCAUCCUGUUCCCGGUUGGCAGAAGGAUUUGUCACACAGCAAGGGACACAGCUGGGCCCUGAAAGACAAGCUGGGUGGAGAGCACAGGCAGAGUUGGCUCUGGUGUAGUCCCCGCUCGCUGUUCCUGGGCUGAGUCAUGGUAGAAGUCAGCGAGGUGCGUGUUCCCCAGCCGCUGUCUACAGCCAGCUUCACCGCUUCUCCUGCACGGUCACUUUGGUCCCGGCAGUAGGAUGGGGGUGCAACCCUGCACUGGGCAGGAGGGGAUUGAAGUGGGACCGCAAGCACUGUCAGAUGUCAGGCUGUGAGGCCCCCGGCUCAGGCCUGGGGCUGCUGUGCAGCUGGAGUCUCCUCGAUGCAAGACUUGCCAGUGAAAGAAAGCCUUGCAUUUGCCAGAAUGCUUUCAGAUUGUCAUCUUUGCCAGCCAAAGCAGUCUCUUCUUGUCUGCUUCCAAGAAGCAUGAGCUUAAACAACUGGUCUCAGAGUGGGGUGUAUCUACAGUCUUAGCCAUGAGGAGAGGUGAUGAAAUGUUCUCCUCUUCAGUAUAUGCAGAAGAGACUGGAGCUUAGCUCCUAUCUUCAUAACAGUAAAACUACAGUGAAAUCUGAAUUCUUUGUUCAUGUUUCACUGCCUACUUUGAGGAAAACAGUGAUCAUGAGAUCAGACGUCAGCCUCAGGGAGGAUAAGCUUCAAAAGGAAAAGGCUUCUGCAGCUGAGGACAGUCUGUUACUUUGGAAACUCUCUGGGCUGUGGCCUCACAUGGUGGAAAGAUUCGGCAGAGUCAACUGAAAUGUGCUGGCAUAUCAGAAGGGAAGGACUACUUUGCAUUCAGGAAGUUGCUCGUUUUGUGAUUAGCAUCACCAUGGCCCCGGAGGGAAGGGAUGGCACUGUCUGGAUAGAUUUCAGAUCUGCUGAGGGAACUUGCACCUGAUACUCACUCAGCCUGAGAUCCAGUCUACAAGUAGAAGAGUCGCCUGACACCAACUGAUGGCUUUGGGUUUAGGGUCGAAGAGAUGAUGUGCUGUGUGGGGCCACAGUGUGAAAUGAGAGUGGUCAGAAGUACAGUUCACCCAGUAGAUGUGACAUAAGUUUCCAGCCUCAGUUUGGCAGGGGAAUGUACAGAGGAGAGGGCAGUGUGCAGCCACUCUCAGUUACCAACCUGGGUCUCCGUGGGGAACAGGGCUGACAGUAGCUCCUGCUGUGAUUGCCAUGGAGGAAGCUAGGUCUGCGAACUUCUCCAGAGCUGGUCAAGGUGACUGCAGGUGACUUUUCCAGCUCCCCCUUUCAAUCUGCUCUGCCUGCAGUGGUGGUGAAGGAGAAUGCCGUGUGUUUUCUGUGUUUGCGAACAAUUAAUAGUGGUACCGCGUUCCGCUGGAACAGCAUGUAAAACGCACCCCAGGAGGGGAAAAAAUAACAACCAAGCGGACUGUUAAGCAGGCCAGGGCUUUUGCUGUCCUGUAGGAAAACACAAUAUGAGGGUUUGCUUAUUCAUCAGCAGCAGUAAAUAACGGGCGCUCACCUUGAGUUCUCCUUCAGCUACUUCUUCAUCUCCCCAGCCUCUGUGCUAGGCACAGAAAAGAAAUGUUUACUGUAUUUUGGAUGACAAACUGUGUUUUUAUAGCUGUCCAAAUUUUAGCUGUUGUUUUCUCUCUGAAAAAGCAUGGUUUUCAUAGCUUUGUCUUCUUCCCCAGCAUCAAAAGCCUCUGGAGUGCAUUCUGCCAGUCUGACACUGAAAAUUAGUCGUGAGCCAUUUGCCUGAACCUGUCAACCCCACAUCAUACCCACGCGUUGUGUAUGCAGGUGGUUUGGCUUGGGAAGGACGCAUAAUGCACGUUAGUCAUUUAAUACGUUUAUAAUCUAAUCUCUCAGAAUGGUGCAGUCAGCAGUUUUUCUUGCUCCUUCUGCAGAAGACACCUUUCUGUCCCUACAUCGUUCUGUGCCGGUGCCAGGAGAAGGUGCUGGCUUGCCUAGCACCGGGGUGCUAAGUCCCUUCAACAAAGGCUACGGCAGCACCAGCUUCCCCACACUGACCCUUGACUGCGCCUCUGCCCGCCCUGGCAAGGCAGGACCUAUGUCCUGAAGAGCGACUGUUGUCCUGUGAGCCCCCGGAGCCAACAGCCUCUUCACUGGGGUCAAAUGCAGGAGUGUCUGCCUGACAGCUCCAGCUGUACCGGGAGCCUCCAGCACGCGCCUUGCCAUCGAAUGCCCACAGCAUCUCUUCGCUGCAUCCAGACAUCCUGACUUUCAGUGGAUCUCGCUCAAGCUGAACGUGAGCCCAGAGGUGCAGAGCUUACAGAGCUUUUUCCCCCCAACCAUCUGUGCUCUAGAGUCAUCCCAUCUUGUCUCAUUUUCCGGUGGGGAAGAGAAAGGCGAGGCAGCGCGUGAGUUGGAGACUGCAGUGUGCCUUGGAAGUCCCAGCAAGCCACAAGUGGCCAAGAUCUACGAAGCGUACCUGUCUGUGAGGAGCAGCUUUGCUCCUUUUUUAAUAGGUGACUUUGAUGGGUGAGAUGGAGCAGGAGCAACCCCUAAGAGCCUGCAGGGUCCCAUGAAACGCAAACUACACCAAAGAACAUACUCUUCAGGGUAAGCCACGCUGGUAAAGUUUCUUCUGCAGGUUUUUCCAUCGCUCCUUCAGCUGGCUUAUUAUCUUUUCCAUCUGUGUAUUUGGGUCUCCCACCACCCCAAACUCUUCUCCCAGGUGCAGCAGCUAUGGACUGGUUUAUGUAGAUGGGGUUUAACAAGUCCGCCCCCACCUGCUCCUGAAUCGCUGACAAGGCCAAUUUGCCUGUUCACCCAUCAACGUGAAAGCACGUGCAAAAUUUUACCUUGGCUGACUUAAUUGUUAGGAGCUGCAACCCCGACGUCUUUGUAAAUAAAAUGGUUUAAUCUCAUGGGGCAUAGCUGGUGGAGAGAGUUGAAUAAAUACAUCAAUAUGGAAAUAGAUCCACAAGAGGGGGAUGAACUGGGACUUUGCAAAACUGAUAAAGCAUCUUAGGAGACAUGUUGCUGCUACACUUCUUGCAUACUCUGCCUAAGCAGACAGUAAUGCUGGAUCUCAGCCCUGGGUUGUGGGAGAGGAAGGGAGGGAGGGAAUGUGGGCCCUAGCACACCGUGACUGAAAUUCUUUUAUGGAUUGAUUUGACUCAAAUAUAUUCUGGGGCUGGUCUAAUUGCUAGUUUAGUCUUGGGCUUUGAUUUUCCUGUUGCUUUCACGUCUCCGCUGCUGCAUCUUUCCUGUAUUUCAAGCAGCCUUACUGGGGGCAGCACCCAGGCCAAACAGAUCCUGUGUCAGACCAGAAUGCAUGAUACCCGUCCUGCUGAGCCCUUCCGCGAAGGGUACGUGGCGGAGUUCAAGGUACGUGGCAUGAGUUAAAGGGAGUGAAGGUCGGACUUUUGCUCCGUGGGUGCUUUUCCUGUGUAAGGACAUCAGGUUUUAUUUUGAGUAACAAAGCCUGAAGCUUCCACGUUGUUCAUGGUGGGCCCAUGCUGGUGCGGCCCUCAGCAGAAGUCUCCCUCCUGAAUUGCAGCAGCCUAGUUAAAUGCAGCAGAAAAAGAAGAUGCCAUGGCCGAUAUGUUCGUGCUGACACGCAUCCUGCAGGAUCCUGUCCGCCAUGGGACUGGGUAUUUGCAAGCUGCCUCUGUAGACAGCAGCCCUAACUUCUCCCUGCCUUGUAUCCCGGGCCGUGGUGCCCACCCAUGUGAAGUGCCGCUCUGCUGAUCUGGUGCGGCUGUACUUCCACCCCCCGGGUGGAAAGAGAGACACGAAGUGGAGAAUCCUGCCGGGCGUUUGGUUCACGAGUCGCAGCUCUGCCUGCCGUGUGUCAGACGGGGAAACCCAGCAACCCGCCGGGGACCUCAGGCAGCUGGACGGUUCUGGGCCGAUCUCCGCGGAAAGGCGAGGAGAAGCCUCCGGCCGCAUCGGCUGGGGCGCUGCGCCGUUUCCGCGGGCUGAGCUCCAGCCCUUGUUUUGCAGCGCGCCGCGGGGAGUUUUAUCACCUUCAACAAUGAAAUCUGUCACCUUCAAGCUGCUUUAUUGUAAUCUGGGGACUUUCACCCUGUUGCCGUAACCCUGCUCCGGGCUCCCACCACGCAGCGCUGCAUUCCCCGCCACGCCAGCGCUAGCAGCUAUUGAUUAGGCUCCUUGCUGAUACCGACGGUGUUAACUUCAGGGACCGCAUUUGUACUUGUUUUCUCACCGGGAUCAGAUAGUUAAUUGAUCUUCCUCUUUCUCUUUGCCUUGCUUCUGUCUCGUGUUCCUCCGAUGGCCGCCUCACCUUCCCCUCCCCGCCCCCGCCGGUUCGGAGAAUAAAAGCCGGUCAGACGUGCGGCACAGGCAGCGCUCGGGACUUCUCCUGCUCUGAUAGUUUAAAGAGUGCAAUGUACAAAUACAUGUUUUAAGCUAUGAUACCUUCCUGUUGCAUCAGUUACACACGUUGGAAUCAGAUUAACUGGCAUAUCUGAGCCUUGAGAAAACAAUUUAAUACUAAGCUCAGGGAAGGGUACUUCUUCAGCAGACAGGGCUCGGCUGCUAGAGCUCGGGAAGCGUGUUGCCUGAGGUUUUCUCCUGGUUAGUUUGGGAACACUGGUGUGGCAGGAUCAGAAUACUUUUGCUUGCUGUUUUUCUACGGCUUUUAUUGUAGAUGCAUUUUUCUUGUAGGGGUUAAGUCGUUUUCAUUUGAAAGGCAGUUAUGUACAUUUGCAUACACAUUUGUACGGGCUAAUUAAAAACUUACCGUCAGAGUCGCUUUUCUGCUAACAAACGCUAUACAGCAAAAUGGUUGUUGCUUUUCUGAAAUGUCUGCUUUGUUGCAGAAAUUUGAGCUUUUGUAAAAUCAUUUGGUCAAAUCUUUGGGGUUUAGAUUUUCAAUGAAUAACCAAUAUUUGCAACAAAAGAUUUAAAGAAAAAGGGGUUUUCAUUGAAGUUUUCCACGGGAAAAAAUCUAUAACAUGUAUUAUUAAAUAUAAAGAGGCUUAUGUCCUGAGUUUUAUCUUGCCACAGCUCUUUAUAGCCCCUCUGAAGCUUGAAACGGAUGUUUUUCAUUGGACAAAACGGUCUGUUCCCCCGCCGCAUUCGCUGCAGGCUGCGUGCUGGAAGGUGCCGGUGCCCGGCAGCGUGGGCCUGCAGGGCCGCUCACGUCGCUCUCAGUGCCCUGUUAUUCCCUGAGCCGUGGAAACACUCGUUUCCAAAAUGGAUGUGUAAAGGAUGAAGCAGUAUCAGGGCAACAACCGAGGGGCAGCAUGUUUUCUCCCUGGCGUUUUUGUACACCUGCCUCCCCAAGACUUUUAAGCCCUGAGGUGGCAGCUUUGGGAGAGUCCCCUGGAGAUGGACGUUGUAGCCGGUGAUGGCCACAGCUCUUUCCACUACUCUCUUCCUUGCCAGUGGUCUCAACCCUGGCCUGUGAGACAUUCCCUCUCUCUCAGAACUAAAAUGCCUCUGUGCAGCUGGUUACACACUUGGACGUUUUAGGAGAUGAUACUGGACUCUAGGGCUUGGAACAGGAUGAUUUCCAGCACCACCAGCAAGGAGCUAGGAGAAAAAGCUCCUUAUUCCGUUUCCCGUGAAUUGCCGGGUUUGCCGGCAGUGGAACUCGCAGGCCGGUGCUCCAAAGCGUUGCUUAGGCAGCCAGGCAGAACGGGAGUACAGAAAUGCUUCAGUCCUAUUUUCAUUCCCCAGAGCCAAGCUCCAGUAUCCAAAAUGGGAUUACCAGAAUAGAAAGGCGGUUGCGUUUUGCCUCUGCUGACCUUCAGCAGCUGCAGCUGCAGCCCUGGCUCCCCAGAGGGAUGCACCUCUGUACCGGUGUGUCAGUCCCCGCUCCUCCUGCCUUGAGCCUGUCCCAAGCAGAGGCUGCCCACCAAGCUACCGAGCUGUGGGGAUUUUGUGACAAGCCAAUGGAAACCUUUUCGCCAGCACGUACAAAUACGCUUUGCAAGGCAAAAAUAAGCAGUAAUGCAGACAUCACGCUCUGUUUUGUUUUAUAUUCCUUUGCUUCAGGAAAACAGGAAGGGGCAAAAAAGGACUGACACUUCAUCCCACCAAGGGCUUUCUCUAAGAUGCCUGCUGGGAACGCUCUCUGUGUGCUUCUCCCUAGGUGGUAGCUCUCUUGAUUUUUCUCGCUGCCUUGCAGGUCCUACUGAGGAGCUUGGAGGAGGAUUUGCUGAUUGCUUAUGAAAUCCAUUCUCCCUUGAGGAUCCGUUCUUUCCAUCUUGAUAAACUUUUAAUUCCUGCUUUCUGAUAACACUGAGUAACUGUGUUUUCGGGACCUGCCUUUGUGAGGGAUUUGUGAUUGAUGUUCGUGUGCGCUAGCAGGAGGCCGGUAACCUCAUUUCAUUUUUGACAGAACAUCAGAACAAGGGCUCUGCAUCCUUCUCCUUUCUUGGUCACGUAUAAAUGAAAGAGAAAGUAGAGCAGAUAUAAUCUGUCCAAAUCUGUCAUUUUGACUCACUUGUAUUCCCUUGCCAUAUUGCUAAACUUCCCACACUGUUUCUGUCCAACGUGGCAUAUGGGCACAUGUUUAAAGGACACGCUCAGCUUCUUUCCCAUGUAGCUCUGUUACCUUGUUUCUGUUCUUGGUUCUGUACAGGAAAGUCUGGGAUAUUUGGAACUAGCUGCUGCAGCUUUGCAUGGGAGUGGAUUGUUUGAAUAUGACCUCACGGAGCCCAUGUAAAUUUAUAGCAGAUAAGACUUGGACCCAGACUGUCUUUUUUAACCAGUUAUUGUCUCCUUCCUAUUCCAUUCCCUCUGCCCUCUCUUUCUGACAUAUUUCCAGCAACUUUGAGAUGAACAUGGCUCCCAUUUUGCGCUCAGACCAACCUCAUCUGUGAUGCCAGAACCGUAUCUACCUGGCCAAGAGAGAGCUUGCACUUCUGCAUCUGUAUAGAGGCACACAUACACGUAGGGACCACUGAGGAAGGACUUGUCACUAUGAGAAAUGAUGAAGAAAAAUGUCUGUAAUGAUGAAUUCACAAGAAAUACAUAAAAUACUAUAUAGAUAUCCAGGCAACAUCAUUCACCAAACUAUGAUACUGUUCCCAUAGAGAAAUGUCACUUCCCUUUUAAGAUCAGUUUUAUUUCCGUAGGAGAAAGGAUGUUCAGAGCACCUUCACUGGCGGAGAGAAAGCGGACGCGCCGUUGUACGUGCCCCGCUGCCUGUGCUGCUCAGCAGCUUCUAAACGCAGGUCUGAACACAGCUCGAUGGUAGCUCUCGGCACAGCCUGCCAAGGCUCCAGCUCCAAACGGCUUCUCGGCAUCCUCCACCUUCUUUUUCAGGAGUAACAAAGACAUCUGAUUUCCUCCCACCCCUCGCCUGCCGCCCCUGCUCUCCCCUCCCCCUCGCUGGCACCCGCGUUAGCUAUACAGAAUACGGAAACAAUUUGCCCGCGAAGCGAACAACGUAACCCGGAGUGAAGCAAGGGAGACGAGCUUAUUGUGCAGGCUUGCAGGCGUUUUGGGGGCGAGAGGGAGUGGACUGUUUUCCUUUCUUUCUGCUCUUCCCUUUCAACAUCUCGCUGAACCGCUUUCCAUCUCUGGUCCAAACCAGAGCAACCAGAUCUGACUGCGCGUUUUGGAGGAGGUUCAGGUUGGAUCCCUCCCUGCGUCAGAGCUUGGUGAGGCAGUAUCUCUGUGCUUAAUCCUCUUGGAGGUUUUGCUCUCGGAUCACUUCUGCUCCUGGAUUAGCAUUAAUGAAGAGCAUGUGUGCUGCAAGGACCUGAUCCAGGCCCUCAGAGCUGCAGCGCUGCUAAAGGCAGUGUUUCCAGAGGAACUGUUAGGCUGAAAGAGAAGAUUGCCUGGGAGCGGAUGAGACAGGAACUUUGUGCAAAGUAUGAUUUCACUCUUUCUCCCUUCACACACCAAGGAUUAGGCUUUCAGAACAGCCCAGAGCCUUGCUAGCACUUGUGAGAGCGUCUCUGAAAAGCAAGCUGUUUGCUCCAGUGCCCGCCUAAGACGUGGAAGUUUGGAGUGAAGCACUUGCAGUUCUCGGAGAGGCAGGUGCCCUUAUCCGCUGGAAUAAGGCAUCAGGAGCUGAGCCAACGUUUGGUUCAGUACCUUUGAGCAGGUCAGAGGUCUUCAGAUCUUCCUGCGCACUGGGCCCAGUUGCCACGAAGUCCUCAAAUAGUAGUCCAAGCCCAGUCCUCUUUUGAAGAGGGGGAUAUUGGUGUUGCAGAGGGAAGGGAGUGUUCUCCGCAGGUUGCAGGUCGGAGCAGAGUGGCUGCCCUGGCAAACUCCCCUUCCGGGGAACUCCUUUCUUAAUAGCCUCCAGACUCGGGACGUGAUCUGUGCAAGCCGUGCUGAGCUGGUAGGACAGAGCCACGAAGCUGCCAACCGGGACAGCAUGUUGCUCUUUAAACCGGGCAGAUCUCCGAUCCUGAACUGGUGCAGGAGAUAAACAGUGAUCCAAUAGCACAGGAGGGAGCCGCGUGGCAGAGGGACAGUCGGAACUCGUGCUGGGCUCUUCCUCGCUCACAUCUCACAUCGUCCCCACCUUCUACUUACUGCUCCUUCGCAGUCUUCGCUCCUGCACAGAGUGGGAACUUUCAGUGUGCGUAUGUUCUGUAACGUGCCACGUCUGCCCUGCCUCACCGAAUGGCAGAUGUCUCCGUGGGCAGCCUGACCCUUUUGAAGCUAACGGCACAGCGUAGAGACCAUUACGAAUGCUGUUGCUGCUCCCUUCCUUUAGCCAAUUUUUGGCCCAGAUUAGCAACUUGUGGUGUGGAAUCCAGCACAGGGUGGGAGCAGAGAUGCUUUGGUCCCUUCUGUUUUCUGAUGUGAUGUGGUCAGGGGCAGUUCAGUUCCUCUCUUUGGGCUGGUCUGACUUUUACUAACUCUCAGAGGGGCCAGAAGCAGAAGUGGUUUCUGGUUUCUGCUCCAAGCCGUGCACCAGCGCUGGAAGCUGUGUGGACAGGAAGCCCACAGCCGGGAGCGAAGAGCGACUGCCCCAGCCAUCCAUCCUCCGCCGGUCCCUGUCGGGUACCAGCUGAGCCGUGCACGGAGGCUGCGGCAGAAGGGAAGCGUGGGUCUCCUGCGCGUUCACUCUAUCAACAUAAGUGUCUGUGAGCACAGCGUGCUCCUCAGCCUGCCCGUCUCCUGUCCGUGCUGCCUCACACAGAGCCUGUGGAUGUCUGCAACAGCCUGCCCGGGCAUGUCGCGCGGUGUGCUGAGCUGACUGGCAGUGCCCGAGGCUGCUGAGGGUGUUCAGGUGCGAGAGACUCUGGAGGGCCGCCUCUGGUCCCCCCUGCAGCCGCGCGUGCAGGCUCAGGCUGCGAGGACAGCAGUCCUGGUCUUGGGGACAGUGUCUGGGCACCCCCCUGGAGGCAGUAUGGACAGACAGGUUUCCAGUCUCUUUUUGACUCCGAGGCCCCCCUUCACCCCGGGAAACAUGAGGCCCUGAGUUAGACAGCAUGGAGAGUUAUGAACUAGACAGGGCAGAGUAGACUCUUGUAGCUCUGCUUCUAGAGACUUUAAAAUGCAGAGACCAGAGGGAGUAGUGUAAUUUCAGGGAAGCAGUCUUUGGAGCUCUUGUGUUUCUUCCCUUCUGGUUUGAUUUUAAAUAUUCGAAUGCUCAUAAAAACAUGAGGAAAACACUGCUUGGGAUGAUUGUGCUGCUGAAACUAUCACUGGCUUUUUGGAAUUUCCUCUGUCAUCUUGUCCUUUUUUUUUAACUAUUUUUAGGACUAUUUAGACAAGAACAGAUUUGUAUUCUUCUCUUCGUGCUGCUCAGUUACCACCUGAAAUCCUCAUCUACUCUUUGCAGUUCCCAGCACAACUGCGAGCAAUAUCCUGAGCAGAGCGGUUUAGCUUCAGGUGAAGGAGAGCAGCAGAAGCAGAUGGGCUUGUAAACAGCCAAGAUCUGGUGCUCGCGCAGAGGUCCUCGCAGAGCAGAAAUGAGCAGAAUGCUUCGCAAACUCGAAGCAACUCUUAUUUUAUUUCUGGGAAAUGUCAGUAGCUGAAAUGUGAUAAUCUGGGGAGGGGAGGACAGCGUAGGAACAGCAAAACGUAUUUUGGCACAGUCAGUUAUUGCAGAAGCUGUUCGUGUUAGAACUUGUAGCAAAGUGGAGAGUAUGGAAACAGGGGGAUGUUCUCCAGAAUCAAGGAAUUUGUAGGUGAUGGAAGCAAGAUUUCCACCAGCCCUUCCACUCUGGCAUUUUUAUCUUGGUUUCCUAAGGAAACAGCCUACUGGUUUUCUGUCAUCCUCCCCCGCAAAUUACUUCCAAAACUGUCAGUCAAUCUCCACCAAAAUUGUGAGUAACUUCAUUGAUACGAAGUUCCUACCAGUUCCCUGAGGAUGUACAGCUGGACGGAGGAGAAGGAAAGCCAGCGCAGUGCCCCCGCGCUGGACGCAGCCGUUGUGGCCACCUCACAGCCCUCUGGAGCAGCAGCAGCAGCCGCCAGCGGGCCGAGCAGCGCAGCCGUUGCUGCCACCCAGCCCCUGCGGCCGCCUGUGCAGCCACGCGCACGGGGCCGUGCAAGUGAGCUGGAGCGCUGCGGGGAAGGGCAGGGGCAGGAGAGGGACCGUGAUAAGUGAGACCUAAUUCCCUAACGGCCAGGAUUUGGUAGCGCUGCCUGCGGCUCGUUGCCGUAAGCGUCUCCCUGCAGCAGCUCCUUUGGUGGAGUGACAGCGAAGGAAGAGGUGCAGCGGCCCCGUGCACAGGGUGGGCAGCCGGUCGGUCUGUCGUGCCGGCGCUGCUCCCGCAGGUGCGCCCAGGGCACGGUUGCAAGGGAAAGGGGGAGAAAAGCCUAGUGCUGACAUAGCCUGUCAGGGCCUUCAGACCAGGCGUUGACAAACCUCCGAGUGCUGCCCCCGAGAAGCAGCAGAUGAGCUGUUUCCUGAAGGGAUGCAGACGCCUGGCUGUAUAAACUCUGGCUUCCCUUUGGUUUCCCGUGUAAUAGAGCCCAAGAGCGGAGCGAGCCGGCAGGCCUCUUCCCCAGCGAGACGCCUGGGGACUCCUCCUCUGCUUACUUUGCCUCCUGCUUGGGCAGGUCCCCUUUCCCUGCCGUUUCUCGCCGCUCGGUGCUUACCGUCAAGCCUGUGGGGUUUAGCUGCUUAGCUUUAGAGGCAGGAAAUGAAUGAAGAGGGGCAGGAAAAGAGAAAACACAGUCAGGAGGCUCACUUCCAUAAUUUAUCGGGCCCAGAGUGGUUUCUCUAAGCCACAUGGUGUCAGGUGUAAAAGAAAUGAAAGAUGAUAACCCAAAGUGGAAGAAUGGAGCAGCCCAAACCUCCCACAGCACGGCGGCUCUCCAGAGAGCGGCUUCAGCAGCGAUUUAAUGGGUACCUGAUGGCAAAGAGCAGCCCCUCCGCCUUGUUCCUGAGCAGGGCAGGUCCUGAUCCGCGUGCUCUGUUUUCAUUUCCCCAGGCAGGGAGAGGAGCGCUGGAGCUGUGCUGCGGGUCCCGUGGCGUGCAGCAGUCGCGGAGGAGGGAGACCGAGGGGAGACGGCGCCAGGUUAGAGCUGCAGAGGGGUUGGUGCUGGAGCGAGGGUUGAGGCGUUGAUAUUUCUAUUUUAUCUCUAUUUUUUCUUGGGUGGGGAGAGGAGGGAGAAGUGAAUUGCUGAGUCUUAAUGGAAAAUGAUGAGCACCUGGACCAGAUUCCCAAAGGGACCUUUGGAGAUAACGAAAUGCCCAAAGGAGCUGGAAUACACCAGCCACCAGAGUUCAUCCGGUCCAGGAUAAAACCUCUGAAAUAGGCAGUGCUUUAAAAAUGCACUUACGGUUGAGGGCUCAAAAUACAAGAAAAAAAUACCCGAGGAAGGUGAGAUAACACUUCCUCCAUUUCCUAGAAAGGAGGGGAAAAAUGCCAAAAAGUUACUCAUUUUUUCUGAGAAAGUCUCCGCCAGACAAGAAGCACUGCAGGUCCAGACAGCCCCCUUGACCUGCGGCUUGCAGCAUGGGCUUACUUCCUCCUGGCAACAGGCGUCCAGCAUUUCCAGGGAGACCUGUAAUUCCAAGCAACGUCCUCAGAGGUUAAUUGAGCCCUAAAGCUACGAGCUCUUCGGGACUCAGCCCGCCCCUCGCUGCGUGUGUGUACGACGCCAGAGCACAGCGGAGCCUUGUCUUGGUUGGGGCCUUCGGUGUUGCGGUAGUGCAAACAAGAAGAAAAGUUAUGCUGCUGAGGUGACCUGGCCCGUUCCCAGCUCCGCCGGCAACCGGGGUGAAAUCGCUAAACUCUUUCUCGCAAACUCAAGCAGCGCCUGAGAGGAGCCUCCAUCGUGCGCAGCGCCGGACCCGCCUGGAGCCCAGCCACCUCCCUGCAGGUGCAAAGCUCCUUGCGUCAGCCCCGAAGCUUGGAGCCAUCUCAGCCUGCUCGCCGCCGCCGCCACGCAAGCUGGAGCCUCGUCCCGUUUGCCAGCAGAGAAAGGAGCCGAGCAGCCUCCGCUUCCCUGCCUUGCCUGACGAGAUCAGUGUUAUCCAAGACCAGUAAUUUUCUCCUCCUGCGAAAGGCAGCAUUGCUUUGCUCACAGAGGCUGCUGUAAUUGGGGAACAGAAGAGUCACCCUGACACCCCUCUUCAUCACAGAAAUGCAGCGUGGGUGACCUGAACUAUGCGUUUCUGGCCCAUCUGCAUUUUGUUCUUGCCUUCUUUGAGGGAGAGAGACAGGUAUUUUACAUUUCACACCGCUUCCACAGCAUGCAGUGAUUUAUAACAGGAGCUACCUUAUUAAUGUCAAGGGCAGAAUUGCUACCGACAUUCAAGCUGCAAGAGCGUAUGAAAAUCAUUUAGUUAGCUAUGGCACGAUCCCAGCGCUGAGGGCUGUUAGCUGAUGUGCAUUCCCCUCUGCGUUCGCAGCCUCGUCCAGUUCUGCGCGGUGGUUUGUGGGCCGCUGGGUGAAAUGCAAACAGGCCCGUUCGGAGCUGGAGCUUUUCAGCCUCAGAACAACCUUAAGCUGGUCGCCAGAGCUCAGGUUUCCUUGAUUUUUGACAGGAGUACUGUGCAGAUGAAACCUCUCUCUGCUCCUUCUGGAGGAUUUACACUGCCACAAGUCUUCAUUUUUUCCAGAUGUUUUACCUAAUAAAUCACGGAGCCUCAUCAGAGGAUUCGAAUCCAAAAGCUGUUACCAUGACUUCAAAGGCACAGCCUGGAAUGGAAAGAAGCGGUGCAGACAUUUUAUGCCAAUCUGUAGUCCCUGAUCAUGAAAAUACGCUUCGGUUCCAGGAUCUGUUCUAUGGAUACCAAAACUCUGCUGUGAUUAAAUAAAACAGUGCUGUGCUCCUUCAGCCAGCCCUUGCUUUCAAAAAUUCAGAUUAAGCACUGCCAGGUGGUACGGUUGGCAAAAAUGGUCCUCGGUAACAUAGGAUGGGUGUAGUCCUGAGGGGUGCUGAGCUCUGCCAACCCCCAUCCAAAAUCAGGGACAAAUAACUCAGGUUUGAACUCUGUCCUGCCAGAUCAAUACUUGCUGCAUAUUUUCUCUCAAUGCCAAUUUAAGCUAUUCUCACUUGAAGGAUUCAGACCUCAGUUCGUAGUCUUAAAAUGUCUGGGAGAGAAAAGGAUAAAAAGAGUUACAUUGCUGCAAAAUAUGAUUGCAGUUAUUCAUAUUGGUUUGUUCCUUGAUUAAGAACGUAACAUUUUUUUUAGUUAACCCUUUCCAUUUUACAGUGUCUGUAUGGUGUCAUUUUCCCUCACUGUUACACUUCUAAAGAGAAAGGGAGUGCGGGGUGCUAAAGCGCUCUAAGAAACAGCUAUGUAUGUGUUCCUAAUUACUCGAUAGCACACCGUACUGCAGGAGAGUUUAAUGGAGAAAAGCAGCUGAAGAAGGAAAGGAUGUUGCAGUGGGCCGGUGAGCUGAAGACCUCGGGGCCAGGGGUUUGAUUCCCUGCUUUCUCGCAGUGCUGCUGGCAGCAGAGCUCAGUCCCUGCCCGGCAGAGAUGCCCAAGCUGGCCUGUGCCAAGAUAAGCUGCUCCUGUUUCCCCCCCCUUGUCCCCCCCAACCUGUACAGAUGAUUGCGGAGCCACAUGCUGAAGCGGAAGCGUUUCCCAGCUGGAUGCAUCUCGCAGAUCCCCAGGCAGUUGUGCGAGGAGGACUGAGCGGACGGUGCCGGCUGGGGGAAGGCUGCCCGCGGCGGGAGGAGAAGCUGGUGUGGCUGGAGGAGCCUCUGCAGCCGGCGCUGCCGUGCAGAGAGGUGCCCAGGGACCGCAGCGCCGGUACUGCCGCUCCUACAGCGCUCCCGCUCCCCUUCGAGAGGGCGUUUGGACUGCUUAUUUCCAGGGCUGCCCCGCGCUGCCUUCCCGCACAGCAGCGAAGAGGGGCAGCUGUGGCAGCCCACGGAGGGUGCUUACGGCAGGGGAUGUGAGCAGAGCCCUUCGGGUUGUGGUCUCGGGGGUUUCGGGCACGCGGAGAAGCCGUCGCAGGGUGGCUGUCGGGGGAGGCUGAGCUGGCUCUGCCUCGCGCUGGCUGCAGGUUAGCGGCACGCGGAGGGCUGCUCACCGCAGAGCAGAUGGGUGGUAAACGGCUUGCGGAUCCCGGCGCUGCGCGAAGGGGGGGCUCUCGCACUUGGAGUGCUGGGAAGAUACUGCAGCUGCAUAAAACCAAUUUGGGACAUGAAUUUACUCCAGUUAGACCAUAUUCUGGGUGCUCUGGCAGCAGUAGGCAAGAGGGGUGUGUGGUCCUGCCAUACGCUUAACCAGGCCUUAAAAAAUUCCCCAUGGUUUCGGACAGCGUUUCAUAGAGGAUGUUCCCGGGAAGGGCAAGUCCUGCUGCGUUCUGGGGCCGGGCUGUCAGGGUGCAGGAAGAGCCAGGUGCAUAUCUCUUCUGUUGUAAUGAUAUGUUCAGACUAAAAAAUGAUCUGAUAUAAAUAUUAGCAAUAAAAAAGCAGUUACCGUGAUACAAUUUGUUCCUGCCCCAGACUUCGGAACAAUUGCUGCUUAUCUUCCCUCCGCCAAGAAGCUGAAGCCCAGCACGACAAACUGUUGUGACUGCCUUGGAUUGGUGACAUCUCGAGUGACACGUGCUGGAUCACCAGAACAGAGUGGCAGCAGCACAGCUUGGCUUCGGGAGCCUAAAAAUAGGUACUACCAUUUCGGAGCUGAAGCCUCCCUCCUUUUUCCCCACCCAGCCCUGCUGUUUGGCACAUGCAGCACAUAAUCGUAGUGUUCACAUCGUACCAAAGAAAAACCACAUCUCUAAAGCAAGCAGUGUGUUAAGUAGUGGACAUGCAUUGGAUGUAGGAUAUGUUAUGACAUGGCUCCUAAAUUAGUGAGUAUCAGUGACAAUGGUUUGCAGAUUUUCUAUGGGCAGUUGGUAUAGAAAGGAGUAUGAAUCAUCUGCUGCACUGCCAUAUAGAAAAGCAUCAAAGAUGUUCAGAGAUGCACCAUAAAAUAAGGACCUUGAAUUCCCUCCACUGGACAGCUGCUCAAAUACUUGCGAGUUGAAUGAGUGAUGGAUGUAGCACAUUUGAUUUCCUUCUGGAUCUUUUCUCUUUUAUUCUGCAGCUCAGUGAAUCUCAGUGAUGCUUUUACCUUUUAUCUUUUUUAACUCUACUCACUGGAGAAAGUAUUUGUCAGCUUCUGCCAAACCCCAAUAAGCUACAUUUCAUUAAAAAAAAGGAUUACUCGGAAGGGGUGAAAUUUGAUUCACAAAGAUAAAACUCUUUGAAGAUGUCUGUUCCUUUGGUAGUGACUGAUUUAAAUGGGUGCCAUUUUAGUAUGCCUGUUACACCGUUCUCAAGGCCACACAAAGGAGGAGGAAUUGUAUGAGGCCAUAUAAAUCAGGGUUUGUUAUAGGGAUGUCAAACACAGCUGCACCAUGGGGUGUUAAUAGGAAGGAGGCAAGAAGCCAAAAGCAAGUCAGAACCAACUAACAAAAGCUACAAAGCUAGUCUGUCGGAUUCUUGAUGCUUCCGGAAGUGCACUGCCUGCACUCUCAGGUUCUCCUUCUGGGAGAAGCUUGGGGUGUUCGACUGAUCCACAUCACAUUUUUUAAGUGCUCCAGUAAUUGGAUAAGUAGUCUUUGUGGAACAUCUUUAGUUCUCAAUUUCUCCCAUCAGGAAAAAUCUAAAAAUGAAGCUCCAUGAGGACAUCACCAGUCCAAGUCUCCUAUUUACUAACGCCAAGGUCAUUCCACUGAAUUCGUGGUCGUCCAAAAUAGCCGUGAGGACAGACAGGCCACUGGACACACUAGUAAGGGAGCUGUUGGAUUAAGCUUCCACCAAACUGUUGAUCACUGUGUGGAAGGAGAAAACUCCCAAUCUUUGUGCAUGCAAAUUAGUUUCCUCCUUUUCCAGCAGCACUUCGUGGGUGGAGUGGAGGGCAGCCAAGAAAAUUUAACCAGAGUGAGGAACAGAAAAAAAACCUUUUAGUGCACACUUGAAAUGAAAGCUCUCAAGCAGCAUUUUUGGUAUGCUCGACAACAGAAAUACUGCACACAUCAGAACCUCUCCCUAGGACUGUUCACCCUCAAGACAGCUGUCGCAGUGGGCAAUGUUGUAUCUCUUACUCAAGUUCUUGCAGAACAGGAUUUCUGUCCCCUCUGACAUAUUCUCCAAAGGAGUGGUCCUGGCAACAUCUCCUAAGACUUCAUGUGCCGAUCAUUAAUGUGUAGGUUCACUACGAGUUAAACCCUGAGGCUCUGACUCCACUGAGCUCCUAUUGAAGCCUAUGGGAAGCUCUGGAAUAAUAAGUGAAUGGGGAUCUUAGUAUGCAGCCUGAGGAGAAGGUGCUAAUGAAUACACUUUCCCCUCUUCCCCAUUCACAUAGUACAGUGCCUUGAGCACUUCAGAGGUUCCCCUUCACUCUCUCCUUCACCUGCUCUUGCCUGUAGGACUCAAGGCUGCACAUGGACUGUGUGUCUGGAAGGCAAGGUAGGAGCUGUGUGGGCACCAUGAUAAGCAAAAUAGAAGGGGACACUGCUUUCUCUCCUAGAAUGACUGCGUGCCCUCUGUGACUUUCCAAAUACCUGAUACUCCAAAACAGAAACUGAGUUCAAGCUUCCUGAAAAAUUGUGUGCUUUCUACCAGAAAGAAGCUUUUAGUGCUUCAAAAUUGUGCAUGAGGCUUCUUUCUUACAGAAGGAAUUCAAGACAGUGGGAAAGUGGAAAGUUUGAGGGAUUUAACAUAGCUUGUGGGCCAGGAUCUUGAACGAUUGCUUGAGUCCAUUGGACAAACUGCACACACGUGUGUGCCCAUGUGCCUUGUGGUUUCCGUAUUAGUUUUUGUUAUUUCUCAAUAUUCCCUUUAAUAUUUAAUGUAUUUAUCUUGAUUGCUGGUAAUUGCAGCAUUGAGAGUGCUGACUCUGAUGUCCCUCCGAGACAUGAAAUUGGCUUGGGACAAUCCAACAUUUUUGUGUGGGCCUGCAAAAAAUUUUCAGCCCACUCCCCUCCAACCCCAAGAACAUUCCUGGCUGCUCUGAUAACAUCCCGAGGCACAGCGCUGGCGUAAAGACUUUCAGGGUGCAAGAGUGACAUGACACUUCCAAACACAGUUUUCCAGGAGUUGUGGGUCACUGGAAGCUAUUUGAGUUCAGCCUUUCCCAAGGAAGGAAGCCUUUAGCCAGCUCAAUCCCGUACCUACAAUGUCUACCCAUUUUGUGUGUGGGGGGUGCAAAUUUGGCCAGACUAACAAGCAGAGAAUGAGAGUCCGGAGCGGAAUAGAAGAGCAGAGCUGUGGUGCCCUGACAGAGCUUUUCAGAAGCUGAUAACUAAAACAGCGAAGGAGAAGCCCUGUUAGUGAGAGCUGGACGAACUCCAGGGAGGGAACAACAGAGGGUGCUGCAGGUCACGGCUGAGCCGGCGUGACAGCCGUGCUGGGGGUGGCACAGGAACAGCAGCUUCCAGUUCAGGGGCAGGGAUGCAGCUUUGAUCCUUGGUGGUGCCCGGUUGUGCUGGGAUGGUGACUGAAGGGAUUGUGGGGGACUGUGGGUCAGGAAUGGCGGGGGUGUGGGUAGUGCUAGACGCUAGCCAGUGAUACUCGUGUCUGCCUUUAAAAUCAAGUCAAGCGGAGUCUUGAUUUCUCCUCCUAAGUAAAAUGGCGGUGUUUAGGACAGCAUGGCUCCCAAACAAGCUUGUCUCUGGGAACUGGGACUGCUCUAGGGCAGAGGAAGGGAUGCGCUCGGAGGGAAACUGCGUGCACAGGUACCCUCCAGCCUGAGGCACAAAGCUGCAUUUUGCCUUUGUGAACGUUUGCCAAUUAUAGCAUAUCAUGUGCAUCAAUAGUGCCUCUAACUUGCCUUAAUACCUUUUUAUGAGAAUAAAAUUUGUUCUUAUAUGGUGCUUUUCAUGCUUGAGGCAGUUCAAAGCGCUUCGCUAAGCACAGUAAUGAGUUAGAUCUUGGGAGCGCAGUGAUUGUGUAGGCAAAUACAGGGACUAUUAUGUGCUCUGCAAUAAUUCACAGAGCCGCCUAUGCUAGAAGCUAUUUUAUUUAUUGAAGGGAGGAAUGUUGGCUGGAUCUCAUGGUUGUCCUCUGGAAGGUUUUAAUGAUCUUUAGCUUCCAUAUGGAAAGCCACCUCGGAGCAGUUGCAGCCCAGAGACCUCGCUUGAGGCAGGACACAUCCAACUACGCAGCGCCGAGGCUGCAGAGCUCCACUGCAGUGUCAGCUGGGGCGAGGGGCCCGAGAUUAGUUGCCACCUUUGAGCAUGAGAUUUGCCUUUCUCAAGCAUAUUACAUCUCUCGGAGUCCUAUCAGUGCAUUCUGGCCAACUCUGUUAUUUGAUGUCCUCUUUUUCCUUAAUUUUAUUUAUAAAAUAAAACCUUUUUGUAGGACCUUCUAUCCCUAGGUCUUGGAGAGGGAUUGCUGAGCUUAACAGUGGCACUGUGAAGCACUGUGAAAGCACUGUUAUUCUGAACAGGAAUAAAGCGGGCUUUAAAGGCUAGAUCCAAACAGACAUCUGAAGUGCAAUUUGCACAGGAUUUAGGCACCUCAGUCCAAAGUCACAAUCCUGAAAAACCUGCUCUCAGCUUUGCCUACCUAGGCUUUGCCCACGCUUUGUUUUCAGCAUAUAACUUCUCCCUGUGCGGUCUCAGAGGCGUUUGGAGGUAUGGGUGUAAUGGCCAAAGCAGUUACUGCCUCAGCUCUCCACUGGUGGCCUCUUGCCAGCCAGACCUUCGCUGCUGACCUGCUGGCCAAGCUUCAUCUGGGAUUGCUCCCGCGAAGAGGUCUGCGGCAGCGUGCGUGGGAGGAGACCUGUGUCCCAGAGACGCUGUGCAUGUCUGCAAAAGACCGGGUGCUGUCCAGCCUCAAAGUAGCUUCAUGUCUUUUUGCCUCUUCUAGAAAAGGUAAACGAACCCCAGUAGAUUGCCAUAACCUUUUGGUGGUUACACACAGGUGGUUGUGGAGCCCUUCCUACUACUACCUGGCCUUGGUGCUGGAAAAUAUACAUAUCUGCUUCGGCGCUGCGAUGGCCUUUCUCCAGUGGGAUCCAGCUUUUUCCUACUGCUGUGUGAUUACAGAAGCCUAAUUAAGCAAGCGAGUGGCGGAUGAACAGGAAGAUGCCCCCCUCCAGGUGUUGUCUCAGCAUGCACCUCCUCAGAGACUCCUUACUUACGCAGGGAGUCGGCCUAUGCAGCUUCGCUCUCUGGGGCCAUUUAGCAUAUUUGCCUGCCAAAGUGUUUGCCUACAUGGCAAAUGCUCUACCCUUCGGUGUCCCCUUUGCAGCGGUACAUAGCAGAACAGUUACAUAAAGAAGUUUCUUUGGUAUUUGUGAGUAGAUAUAUUCUGCUGGUGUUUUGCUCCAAAUAUAGCCUUGAAACUCCUCCUUAAACUCAUAGGAGAGGCCUGUGCUGUGCCUCCUGGGAACAAAGGGAAUUUGCAUCACCCUUCAGCAUUUCCCGCCUGCCCGGUGAUUUGUGUCUUAACUGUGAAUAACAGUCCUUGCCUCUCCGGAGUUCAGGGCAUCAGAGGGUUUCAAACUGCUCUGCAAACAGGGCAGCCCCACUGACGUGAAUAGGGCUGGUCAACUGGGAAUGUAAACAGAGUCUGACUUAUUACCAAAUUAACUUCCUAGCAGUCCUAGGGGCAAGGAGAGAAAGGUGUCACUUCAGGCUCUGCUGGCAUGGGACAGGAUAGAGUAGCUGGAAUUGUCCAGAGCAAAACUACCCACAGUUUAAGACUAUAAGUAAAAAAUAAUGCAAUCUCUAAUUGAAACCAGAUGAGACAUUCAAGUAGACAGCCUGCAAAUACCCACAAAAAGCAGAAAGCAAAUGCUUUUUGUACAAGCAUUAAUCUUCAUGCGUCACUAGGGCACAAGUCCUAGUGCGAGUGCAAGGAGAGAAUUCAGCUCAUUCGGCGCUGGUCUGUAAAGAUCUGUGUCCAGUUUUGCACUUAAUUCUGUUUAACUGGGGCCGUCAAUUAGCUCCUUCAGUUUUUCUGCCUGUCUGUGCUGGGUCCAGUGAAUGCUCCUGCACAUAAAGAUCUGUCACUGAUUGCUUGGGCAGCUAAAUUGGGCAGCCAGCUCGCUACUCAAAGGUAUCUUAACUUUGCAUCCCUUUCUGUUGGGGCAGGAAUACUGGGGAUGACUUCAACCUCGUUGUAAUCUCCUUGUACACAUUGCUAUUCUAAUUUUAUGCCUAGGUAUGGCAUUUCCAUUACAAAGGAGUUUUGUUGGUUGAGCUCUGCUGGUCCAAGUCUUUCAAAAGCCUCCGGUCAUGUGCUUCUACUCUUUUCCUCCAGAACAAAACAUCAUCUACGCAGAUCCUAGGCUAUCAAAGCCCAUGAAACAGUUGAAGUGCCAAACACAACCCAAAUGGCAGUCUGAGGAAAUUAUGUCUCCCAUAGGGGCUGUUGAAUAUGCACAAACGUAUGCUCUGUUUUCCUAACGUGCCUGUUAGAACCCUGCUGAUGCCUCCAGCAGAGGAAAAUAUUUGGCAUAGUCCAUUUCCCCCCAAACUUUUACUCCUUGCAGGAAAUAUAAAACGUUCUUUUCCUACGUAUUUAUUUUUGUCUGACUGUAAUCAAAGGAUUUCAUUUUUCCUCCCUUUCUCUGGUGACCCAUGAGCAUCCACUUGCUGUCAAGUCUGCGUUUCCUCCAUCUUCCAGAGAGCUGUGAGCCUGUCCAGCACCGCCUCUAGCCUCUGCUAAAGUCCGUGCUGUGGUUUGCUCAUCUGCUGCAGUGUCGCCCCACUUGGCCCGGGCCCGUGAAACAUUCUGAACGGGGAUUUGUCCACGCUGACCGCUGUGUCAGCACACGCUUGCGGUCCUCUGUCUUCUCCCGAAGUAUUUUGGAUCACUGGAUCUGCCUUCUCUCAGUCAGCUUUAGUCUGGAUGCGGUGACUUUCCAGUGCUGUUUAACAGAUUCACGGACCUCAGCCCACAGCUUGAAAGGCGGUCUGCAAGUCAGCUGCUGUGCUGCAGUAGAUCCAGUACUGGACUUGUUCAUGCCCACAUUCACUAAGUAGUACUUCCUAGAAUGACCCGGCAGCUUGAGAAGUAGCGGCUCGCUGCGGAUAUUGCAACGGCAACCCCAGCAGGGCCAGAUGACUGUUACCUGAUAUCUGGUGAGUGGGCUAGAGGUCAGAAGGAAAAAGCUGGACUACCAUUUGUGAGCAUGGUUUAGACAAAGCUAACAGAUCAUGAAGCGAGCGUCAGCCUGAAAGAGGGUUUUAGAGGCAGAUUGCAGCCAUUUGGGGCUAGAAAAACAUUAGAUUCGUGAGAAAGCUUUUCUUCCUCUGUCAAAUAUAUCUUAUUUGGUACCUGCCUCAGAGGGCUCUCAUCUGAAAAAUGCCAUUUCUUCUCUUUGUAGAAUGUAAAUGUUCAUUCCAGAUGAUAUAGAUUUCUCUUCCUCAAUUUCUUUUCAGCACUCACUGUAUGUUUUUGAAUGUGGAAUCAGAGCCUUUUUGAGAAAUGAAUUCCUUGUUGAAUACAUGCACUUUUAUACUUUCAGAAAUGAAAGGUACUUCUGAUAGCCUGAACCUCUUUCUCUCCGAAUUCCCCAUUUUUAGCAAUGGAAGUUGGUUCCAAAUACCUAAAUUCUCUCCAUUUUUUGGUAGUGAACUGUUUUAGCUGAAUGCCUGUGGAGUGUGAAGGCAUCUUCCUUUUAUGCAAAACGUACACUACUUGUACAGUCUAUGAGUAUCUUCCCUCCAGGCUUCCCUGCCGGCAUGUUGCUCAUGCUUUGCUGAAGGAGGAUGUGCCAUUUCAAUCCUUGGUCCUUCUAAGAGCAUUCCCAAAAAACGUGUAUUAGUGGAGGAGGACGUAGGUGGAGCAACACAGCUGUGCACCAUUUUCUUACAAUGUGGUAGCUGUUAACUAGGAUGUGGAUUAGAUGGACCUUCAUCAUGCAGACCGUCACAUCUUUUCAGGCAAGGCACAUGACUGCCAACAGGCAGUGAUUUUCAAAAACCAAUGAUCUCGGGUGGUAUAAACUAGUGACCUUCUUUAGUUGUGUGCAGUUCCUUUUGCUCCGUUCCGUAUUUCUGAAUCUCUUUGUGUGUCGCCUGGGCACAAAGUAACAUUCUGACCUCUUUGAGGCUCAUUCCAUAUUUUUUAGAAUCAAUAAACUUCAAAUGCAGUACCAGAAAUACCAACUAGUCAGUAAGUCCAGUCAAGUUACGUUAGAAGUAAAAGCAGUGUGUUGUAAGGGCAACAUUUUCUUAAGGAACUGCUAUUCAGGCAUAUUUGUUGUUUCAAUUAGCCUGAUUUAGUGGCUCAGUAAGGGGGCUGCAGCCUGUAGCAGCCAAAUUACUCAGACUGUAAUUUGAUUUCUAAAGCUGCCAUUCAGGUACUAAGGAAACAAAAAGAUGUGGUAAAACCGCACUGUGACAGCAGAUGUACAGACCCUGAUGCGCUUAAUGUGCAGUAUAUCUGUCAGGAGGAUACAAGGGUUCACGGCAUGAUCACCCGCAUUUCACAUCCCAUCAGAGUUGCAUGUUUUGCUCUCCUGGCUUUGAUCGUCGGUCCCUGGGGAGGGGCAUGGAAAGGUGGUAGAAUGGUGGUGUUUUUUUGGAACUGCUGCCCUGAAGGGAUGUUUAAACAAAAAAAGAAAGUAAAAUUAAUGUGUGUGGAAAGUGCCAGACUGACAGCCUUAGCGAGUGAAACACUACCUAUUUGAAGGCUACCCACGUUUUAUCUGCUAGAGCUGUCAGUAUAGUACCAUCCCUCCGCAUGAAAUGUAUUCUUUUCUGUUUAAACUGUCCCUUGUUUCUCUAAAUUGCUCAGUCCUGCAUCCGAGAAAGAUUCAGACAGUACUAAUGGGGGUAAGGAGUUGGGCUGCUGAAAACUAGGAAGAAAUGCUGGCAAGUUUGCCCUCUCUUUUGGAGAUACUUAGAAUUUGCAAGAGGCUAGAAAUGAUUUAAAAAUAAAAUUUAUGCAGAAUGAUGUGAAGCAUAGCUCUGCUUUCAAACUGGAAACUGUUGGGAACAGAAGCUUGUUUCUCUCCUUAGUAAAUCAGGGCUUAUCCAUGUUGUAACUCUUUGGAAAGAGACCUCCAUGCUCUCUUCUUAAGAGCUACAUAACCAAGAUCUUGUCCAGAUAUCUGCAGCAUAGAGAGGUGCUGCAGAAUGGCUCCCUGGCUUUCUUGGUAGGAGGGUGCAACAGUUUGGAUCUUGCCGAUAGAAAUGAAGAUAACCACGUAAACACUAACAGCAAAGUUUGAAUCUUAACAUCUGAAUUAUUCCAGCUGAGUCCAUUUAAAAGCUGCCAUUCUUAUACUCAGAAAAAAAGUAAGCUGGGAGACUUUGGUUUCCUCUGCUACUCCGUUACCCUUGAACAUGCUUCUUUGUCAAUCUGUGCUCCUCAGGCAGCAUGCAAGCUGCUUAUUUUGGAAGAGACUGUUUUACCCUGUUUCUCCAUAUUUGACGCAUAAUGUAGAAACUCAUCUCCAUCCUACAGGUUGGGCACUUUGGGAGAUGCCAUGAUCAGCUGCUGUUUAGAUCAUGUGGCAGGAAGUCACGGAGAAAAGAGAAGUCCUCCAGGACUCCAGAUAUCCUUCAGAGCUUGGAGAGUAGAAAACCUAAUCUAAAUGUGGUCUUGGAUCUGUUGCUUUUUGGCACUGGUAACAAGAUAUUUAAUUUAUUGGAUAUACAGAGAGUCAAAUUAGGUCCCUGCAGUGUUAUGCAUAGGUAAAUUUACAUCUAUAACCCCACAGUACAAUCUUCAAAGCUUCUGAUACAUGAAUCUGAAGAUCUUUUCUAAGAAGUUGAAUUUUACAAGUAUUUGAGCUUCUCCCUUUUUCAGAUGCCGUAGUAAAAAUGAAGUAGUCCAAUAUCCGUUCCAUGAAAAAUCUACUCCAUUUAUAAGAAAUUCCCUCACAGUAUUUGAAAGGGUGAUGAGGUUUUGAGGAGCAUUCCAGGAGGAGGAAGUGGAGCCAAAACUCUUGACUACUUUAAAGGGCUGCCUGAGAAGAGUAUGAACAAGAUGGUUGCCCAUUGCAGCUCUCUCCCUGUCAGGCUCUCUCCCUGUCCAGAUCUGUCAUCUGAUGUUCUGCAGAUCAUCCUCCCUGCCUUCACUACAUCUGCUGUUUAUUAAAAACUGUGUUCCUGGCUUAGAUGUGAACCCGCACACUGAAUGCCCCAUCAUCCUAAUGAUGUGUGCCAUUGGUUUUGAACUAUUCUAUUAGUGGACUGAGGCAAUUUUGCUGAUAUUUAACGUUUUGUCCCAGCAUUCUAAAACUUCUCUUUGCCUCCUGUUUCCCCCGUUUAAAACAGGGAUACCUUCACCAGUAUUUUCAAAGAGGGGCUCCUGGAACUAUUCUAUAUGUAUAUUCAGUUUCAGACACCUAAAGCAGUAGCCUGAGGUACAAGGCAGCCAUGGCUGACCUCCAGUACCACAGACAUCUGUGGGAGCUGCCGGUGUUGACACGGGCAUCAAAUCUAUCUAGUCUCAAGUUUUUUGCGUCAGACUUGCUCAUCUAGCUCUGGCUGAUCCAUUUGUAUCUCACGUGCUGGCAAUUUGGCUGCAUCUCUCCUCUUCCAGGACUCCACAAAGCAAGUGCAGCUGAUCCACCCCCUGACCACUGGAUGGGUGUCAGAGCUGGAGGGAGCCUACAGGGCAGUGUAGCCACCAGGAAGGUGCCUUAGCCUCUUCUCUCAUGUGAGUGCAGUGUGUAUGGCGGGGGGUGUUGGGGCAGGUGGACUGGAGCAACUGCCAUAUGCAAAGGAGGAGGGGAAUUAAGGAUCCCAGCCAUAUGGCCCAACACAUCAGCCUAAUCGGUAAGGUAACAAAAAAAGGUAUAUAUGUUUUCCAGGCAUCCCCUGCUGCUGUUCUGAGAUUGUUUCUCUGAUUUCCCUUCCCCAGAGGCAAAGGACUGGUAUGGUUUCUUUGUGCUAAGUAUCAGUUCUCUUCCUUUUGUUUUAGCCUUUCUCCUCUCUCUUUUUUUUCCUCUCCAUUUUGGCCUGCUCUCAGGUGGCAGCAAACUCACUUCCCUGCCUUUGCUGGCAUGAUCGUAGGAGAAAAUGUGAUAGUGUGGACACAGCACUGAAGCAGGAGAACUCAAGAGGUGUGAAAUUUGUCUUCAUCGCAGACCUGCUGCACUGCCUUUGGUGACUCGUAACACCUUUCCGUGGUUCUGUUUCCCUCCUAACUUCCUGCCAGUCUAACCUCCUAGACCAGAAGCUCUCUGGGGCAAAGACCUGCUUUUACUGUGUGAUCAUGCAGUGUCUAAUACAAUAGGUCCCAACCUCAGGUAAGACCUUUAGAUACUCCCAUUAUAUGAAUGAGAACAAGAUUGUUUGUGUCAGUAAUUAACAUUCUUGUGGGAUUGUUGGAAAUGCUUUGGGAUAAACGCUGCCUGGAA
This is a long non-coding RNA of Dromaius novaehollandiae (emu), 26065 nucleotides long. RefSeq lists it as uncharacterized. The transcript is spliced from 19 exons. Lineage: Eukaryota; Metazoa; Chordata; Aves; Casuariiformes; Dromaiidae. The record is from RefSeq and is a predicted model, not a curated record.